RNAcentral lists this long non-coding RNA (233 nucleotides) under Gossypium barbadense (sea-island cotton). RNAcentral's name for it is "long non-coding RNA (GBAR_LNC012297)". The record is from RNAcentral. Lineage: Eukaryota; Viridiplantae; Streptophyta; Magnoliopsida; Malvales; Malvaceae.
UCGGAGGGAUUUAUUAUGUGCGAAGGAUCGGAUCUGUAACGUCGAAGCAUCGAAACAUGAAAAACGUUGUGAAUCUUCUCAAGGUCAGGGGGUAAAAUCAAUCUAUAUGCCACUGGGCCAACUCGUUCGGAUAUUUCAUACGGCCCUAUGAACCUUGGACUCAGUUUGCCCUUACGGCCAAAUCUGAGUAUCUUUUUCCAAGGUGAAACUUUAAGAAAUACUUUGUCUCCCAC